GGGGGUGAUCGGUUUCGACGUUGCUCGGUAUUUCAGGAGAAGCGGGUCGAGGAUGCAAGGUCAGCUCGUCAACGCUCCUUGCAAAACCAAUAGCUGCCAAUUCUACGCGCAGCGACUUCGCCCUCGCCGCCUGACGGCGACGCGAAGUCUGUCAGCCUGAGGUAGUUUCCGACUCAGUGCCUGGCAUCAGUUAGGAAACUUGCUGCACGGUCAUGUCGGGGGAUCGUGCGGGACUCCAACUCGACUGGGCCUGUCAGGGAACGUGUGCGCGCGAGCCCUGGGGCCGAGAAAAUCCAUAGCGCACUGCACCCGGAGAAGUCCUGUUCUUCUGGCAACGGACGCGGGUUCGAUUCCCGCCACCUCCACUU
RNAcentral lists this transfer-messenger RNA (368 nucleotides) under Ornithinimicrobium sp. It matches the Rfam family "transfer-messenger RNA". Rfam says of the family: Bacterial tmRNA, also known as 10Sa RNA or SsrA, is named for its dual tRNA and mRNA-like properties. Its role is to liberate the mRNA from a stalled ribosome. To accomplish this part of the tmRNA is used as a reading frame that ends in a translation stop signal. Lineage: Bacteria; Bacillati; Actinomycetota; Actinomycetes; Micrococcales; Ornithinimicrobiaceae. The record is from RNAcentral.